RNAcentral lists this ribosomal RNA (428 nucleotides) under uncultured bacterium. Its description in RNAcentral is "bacterial SSU rRNA". It matches the Rfam family "Bacterial small subunit ribosomal RNA", at positions 355 to 774 of the family's 1533-position model. The record is from RNAcentral.
UGAGGAAUUUUGCGCAAUGGGGGAAACCCUGACGCAGCAACGCCGCGUGAGUGAUGAAGGCUCUUGGGUCGUAAAACUCUGUCAGUAGGGAAGAAGUUGAUUAUAGUUAAUACCUGUAGUCAUUGACGGUACCUACAAAGGAAGCACCGGCUAACUCCGUGCCAGCAGCCGCGGUAAUACGGGGGGUGCAAGCGUUAUUCGGAAUUAUUGGGCGUAAAGCGAGUGCAGGCGGUUUGUAAAGUCAGAUGUGAAAGCCCGGGGCUCAACCCCGGAAGUGCAUUUGAAACUUGCAGACUUGAGUAUGGGAGAGGAAAGUGGAAUUCCUGGUGUAGAGGUGAAAUUCGUAGAUAUCAGGAGGAACACCAGUGGCGAAGGCGACUUUCUGGACCAAUACUGACGCUCAGACUCGAAGGCGUGGGGAGCAAACA